GACGAACGCUGGCGGCGUGCUUAACACAUGCAAGUCGAACGGUGAAGGGACCAGCUUGCUGGUUCUGGAUGAGUGGCGAACGGGUGAGUAACACGUGAGUAACCUGCCCCCUUCUUCUGGAUAACCGCAUGAAAGUGUGGCUAAUACGGGAUAUUCUGGGUCUGUCGCAUGGCGGGCCCGGGAAAGAUAUUGCUUCGGUGGGGGAUGGGCUCGCGGCCUAUCAGCUUGUUGGUGGGGUGAUGGCCUACCAAGGCGGUGACGGGUAGCCGGCCUGAGAGGGUGGACGGUCACACGGGGACUGAGACACGGCCCAGACUCCUACGGGAGGCAGCAGUGGGGAAUAUUGCACAAUGGGCGCAAGCCUGAUGCAGCGACGCCGCGUGAGGGAUGGAGGCCUUCGGGUUGUAAACCUCUUUCGCCAGUGAAGCAGGCCUGCUCCUUGUGGGUGGGUUGACGGUAGCUGGAUAAGAAGCGCCGGCUAACUACGUG
RNAcentral lists this ribosomal RNA (489 nucleotides) under uncultured bacterium. Its description in RNAcentral is "partial 16S ribosomal RNA". It matches the Rfam family "Bacterial small subunit ribosomal RNA", at positions 28 to 507 of the family's 1533-position model. The record is from RNAcentral.